RNAcentral lists this small RNA (126 nucleotides) under Marmota monax (woodchuck). The record is from RNAcentral. Lineage: Eukaryota; Metazoa; Chordata; Mammalia; Rodentia; Sciuridae.
GCCAGGUGUGGUGACCCAUGCCUGUCAUCCCAGCAGCUUGGGAGGCUGAGGCAGGAGGAUUGCGAGUUCAAAGCCAGCCUCAGGAGUUAGUGAGGCCCUGAGCAACCCAGUGAGACCCUGUCUCUA